UAGGGAAUCUUCCGCAAUGGGCGAAAGCCUGACGGAGCAACGCCGCGUGAGUGAUGAAGGUCUUCGGAUCGUAAAACUCUGUUAUUAGGGAAGAACAAAUGUGUAAGUAACUAUGCACGUCUUGACGGUACCUAAUCAGAAAGCCACGGCUAACUACGUGCCAGCAGCCGCGGUAAUACGUAGGUGGCAAGCGUUAUCCGGAAUUAUUGGGCGUAAAGCGCGCGUAGGCGGUUUUUUAAGUCUGAUGUGAAAGCCCACGGCUCAACCGUGGAGGGUCAUUGGAAACUGGAUAACUUGAGUGCAGAGGGGGAAAGUGGAAUUCCAUGUGUAGCGGUGAAAUGCGCAGAGAUAUGGAGGAACACCAGUGGCGAAGGCGACUUUCUGGUCUGUAACUGACGCUGAUGUGCGAAAGCGUGGGGAUCAAACAGG
This 429-nucleotide ribosomal RNA is filed under the name Actinomycetes bacterium. Its description in RNAcentral is "Actinobacteria bacterium partial 16S ribosomal RNA". It matches the Rfam family "Bacterial small subunit ribosomal RNA", at positions 355 to 776 of the family's 1533-position model. Lineage: Bacteria; Bacillati; Actinomycetota; Actinomycetes. The record is from RNAcentral.